ACACUGAUGUGAGUUGAAUUUCAACUUGUGGCCUCGAGUUCAGAGGUGCUCAUUUUCAUUUUCUGAAGAAGAAAGUUUCUGUCUGGGACCCUCCCUGCCUUUGGAGGGAGACACGCAAGUCCGGAGGUUAUUCGUGCCCUUUGGAACUCUUCCUGGGAGAGUCCAAGGAAUGUCGUAGAAUCAACCCGAAAAUGACAAACACUCACCAGUGCCCUUGAAUGCCGUCACUAUCUCUGACUCCAUUAGCCUUUUAUGGUCUUUUCCAAAAAGAACCUAAUUAAGUUAUCAGAACGGGUCAGGCCAUAUGUGUCUUCUGACCUCAACUCAU
Molecule: long non-coding RNA, 328 nt
Filed under: Homo sapiens (human)
Lineage: Eukaryota; Metazoa; Chordata; Mammalia; Primates; Hominidae
Description: HSALNT0340505
Source: RNAcentral